GGGCCACAAAUCUAGCCAAGGCUGGUGGAGAAAUGGGCCGAAGUAAUAUGGUCAGUGCUUAUGGACUAAAGCCAUUUUGGGUAGCAGUUUAAUGAAACGCUGCGUUUCAAGCAGCGCUAAAGGCAAAGCUGAAAUGGGUCUCUCAGUUUACAUCACAUUGUGCAUAGAUAGGAUCAUUUGAGUUUCCCCCAAUUCUUCACGAGCUAGGGUUCCAACAAAAGAGAAGAACAACAAACCAGAAGCGGGUUCCAUGGUUGAUUUCAGAAGCUGAU
Molecule: long non-coding RNA, 272 nt
Filed under: Vigna radiata
Lineage: Eukaryota; Viridiplantae; Streptophyta; Magnoliopsida; Fabales; Fabaceae
Description: long non-coding RNA (VRAD_LNC003568)
Source: RNAcentral